CCUGGCUUAGAUUGAACGCUGGCGGCAGGCCUAACACAUGCAAGUCGAACGGUAACAGGAGAAGCUUGCUCUUGCUGACGAGUGGCGGACGGGUGAGUAAUGUCUGGGAAACUGCCUGAUGGAGGGGGGAUAACUACUGGAAACGGUAGCUAAUACCGCAUAACGUCGCAAGACCAAAGAGGGGGACCUUCGGGCCUCUUGCCAUCGGAUGUGCCCAGAUGGGAUUAGCUUGUUGGUGGGGUAACGGCUCACCAAGGCGGCGAUCCCUAGCUGGUCUGAGAGGAUGACCCAGCCACACUGGAACUGAGACACGGUCCAGACUCCUACGGGAGGCAGCAGUGGGGAAUAUUGCACAAUGGGCGCAAGCCUGAUGCAGCCAUGCCGCGUGUAUGAAGAAGGCCUUCGGGUUGUAAAGUACUUUCAGCGGGGAGGAAGGGAGUAAAGUUAAUACCUUUGCUCAUUGACGUUACCCGCAGAAGAAGCACCGGCUAACUCCGUGCCAGCCGCAGC
Molecule: ribosomal RNA, 510 nt
Filed under: uncultured bacterium
Lineage: Bacteria
Description: bacterial SSU rRNA
Rfam family: Bacterial small subunit ribosomal RNA
Source: RNAcentral